RNAcentral lists this ribosomal RNA (1189 nucleotides) under uncultured Campylobacterota bacterium. RNAcentral's name for it is "bacterial SSU rRNA". It matches the Rfam family "Bacterial small subunit ribosomal RNA", at positions 231 to 1434 of the family's 1533-position model. The record is from RNAcentral. Lineage: Bacteria; Pseudomonadati; Campylobacterota.
CUAUGUCCCAUCAGGUAGUUGGUGAGGUAACGGCUCACCAAGCCAAUGACGGGUAUCUGGUUUGAGAGGAUGAUCAGACACACUGGAACUGAGACACGGUCCAGACUCCUACGGGAGGCAGCAGUGAGGAAUAUUGCACAAUGGAGGAAACUCUGAUGCAGCAACGCCGCGUGGAGGAUGACGCAUUUCGGUGUGUAAACUCCUUUUAAGAGGGAAGAUUAUGACGGUACCUCUUGAAUAAGCACCGGCUAACUCCGUGCCAGCAGCCGCGGUAAUACGGAGGGUGCAAGCGUUACUCGGAAUCACUGGGCGUAAAGGGUGCGUAGGCUGACUUUUAAGUCAGGCGUGAAAUCCAAUGGCUUAACCAUUGAACUGCGCUUGAAACUGGGAGUCUAGAGUUCAGAAGGGGCAGAUGGAUUUAGUGGUGUAGGGGUAAAAUCCGUAGAUAUCACUAGGAAUAUCAAAAGCGAAGGCGAUCUGCUGGGAUGAUACUGACGCUGAGGCACGAAAGCGUGGGGAGCAAACAGGAUUAGAUACCCUGGUAGUCCACGCCCUAAACGAUGAAUGCUAGUCGUCGGGGAGCUCGUCUCUUCGGUGAUGCACUUAACAGAUUAAGCAUUCCGCCUGGGGAGUACGGUCGCAAGAUUAAAACUCAAAGGAAUAGACGGGGACCCGCACAAGUAGUGGAGCAUGUGGUUUAAUUCGAAGAUACACGAAGAACCUUACCUGGCCUUGACAUGGUAGGAACCCUGUAGAGAUACGGGGGUGCUGGCUUGCUAGAGCCUACACACAGGUGCUGCACGGCUGUCGUCAGCUCGUGUCGUGAGAUGUUGGGUUAAGUCCCGCAACGAGCGCAACCCUCGUCCUUAGUUGCUAACGGUUCGGCCGAGCACUCUAAGGAGACUGCCUUCGCAAGGAGGAGGAAGGUGAGGACGACGUCAAGUCAUCAUGGCCCUUACGGCCAGGGCUACACACGUGCUACAAUGGGGCGUACAGAGAGCUGCGAUACCGCGAGGUGGAGCCAAUCUCUUAAAGCGUCUCUCAGUUCGGAUUGUUCUCUGCAACUCGAGAACAUGAAGCUGGAAUCACUAGUAAUCGCAGAUCAGCUAUGCUGCGGUGAAUACGUUCCCGGGUCUUGUACUCACCGCCCGUCACACCAUGGGAGUUGAUUUCACCCGAAAUCGGGAUG